AUAUGAACUUCUGAGUGACAGCCAGCUCGCUCAAUUGUGAUCAGGUGCUGGAGAGUCAUAUUUGUCCAGUUUGUUGAUGUGGUUAGUGAUGCUGGUAUUAAGAGGAGCUGGUGACACUGGAUGGAUAACGGUCGCAUCAUGGGAUUGCUGCUGAUAACGUUGGCAGUAGGUGUAGAUGAGCAGUGUAAGAAGACAACCGAGAAUGGAGCUGCUUAAUCCUACGGCGAUCAUAUGGAACAUGUUGAACUCUGAAAAGCGGAUUUCAAAAGCAGUAUUAUUACAGUGAAGCUGUAAAUGUGCUGUAAGAUUUUAUUUUUAUCCUUGGCCUGUAAUUUUCUAAGGAAAUGACUGUGUUUCAGUGUGAAGUGUCAUGGUUAUCAAUUGUUAUUCUUGUAAAAGCAAAAACAUUUCAAUUCAAUGUCCUCAGAUAUUGUUUUUUUAUACAGAGUACUUUAAGAUACAUAAAAGAUAAAUGUAGUUACUGUUUUCAUAAGAAAAAUAUUUGUCUUUUAGUGGGUUUCAUGAAUUCUAAAAAAACCAUGUAUGCAAAUAAAUGAAAAAUCAAUUUUCAAGCAAA
Molecule: long non-coding RNA, 577 nt
Organism: Tachyglossus aculeatus (Australian echidna)
Lineage: Eukaryota; Metazoa; Chordata; Mammalia; Monotremata; Tachyglossidae
Exons: 2
Source: RefSeq, a predicted model, not a curated record